RNAcentral lists this ribosomal RNA (482 nucleotides) under uncultured Pelotomaculum sp. RNAcentral's name for it is "bacterial SSU rRNA". It matches the Rfam family "Bacterial small subunit ribosomal RNA", at positions 903 to 1382 of the family's 1533-position model. Lineage: Bacteria; Bacillati; Bacillota; Clostridia; Eubacteriales; Desulfotomaculaceae. The record is from RNAcentral.
CUUAAAAUGAAUUGACGGGGCCCGCACAAGCGGUGGAGCAUGUGGUUAAUUCAAAGCAACGCGAAGAACCUUACCAGGUCUUGACAUCCCCUGACAACCCGAGAGAUCGGGCGUUCACCUCGGGUGACAGGGAGACAGGUGGUGCAUGGUUGUCGUCAGCUCGUGUCGUGAGAUGUUGGGUUAAGUCCCGCAACGAGCGCAACCCCUACGUUUAGUUGCUAACGCGUGAAGGCGAGCACUCUAGACGAACUGCCGUUGACAAAACGGAGGAAGUGGGGAUGACGUCAAAUCAUCAUGCCCCUUAUGUUCUGGGCUACACACGUGCUACAAUGGCCGGUACAGACGGACGCAAAGCCGCGAGGCGGAGCAAAUCCGAAAAAGCCGGUCUCAGUUCGGAUUGCAGGCUGCAAUUCGCCUGCAUGAAGUCGGAAUCGCUAGUAAUCGCAGGUCAGCAUACUGCGGUGAAUACGUUCCCGGGCCUU